ACACUUGUGUGGACCAGCUUGCACAACAUAUUUCAUUCAUAUGUCCAUCAUCAAAACUUCAGUUCCCUAACACAAGUUAACUUGUACAUUAUAGUAUAAGAUUAUUAAAAAUGUUAUAGUAGAGAAAAAUAAGAAGUGACUAAAAGCAAUGGAUGAGAAUUUUUCAAAACUUUCAGGUUCAGGGUGUGUUUAGUAUGAAAGAAAUGUUUCUCAAUCUUUUCAUGUAUGAUUAGCCUAAAUGUUUUUGAAAACUCUUUUUAAACCUCAAUCUGAGACCCAACUCCUAAUCCCGACCCCUACCCAUCGCUCCAAACCCCGACCUGUUUUCGACCCCAACUUGGACCCAAUUCUCUAUUCUGACCGAAUUUCUAAC
Molecule: long non-coding RNA, 373 nt
Filed under: Capsicum annuum
Lineage: Eukaryota; Viridiplantae; Streptophyta; Magnoliopsida; Solanales; Solanaceae
Description: long non-coding RNA (CANN_LNC007574)
Source: RNAcentral